GGUUCUAUAGUGAAGUGGUAUCAUUUCUACCUUAUCUUCUGCCCUCAGUUCUCUGCAAGCAAUCGAUUAGUAGACGACCUAGGUUCGAUUCCUAGUAGAACUU
Molecule: non-coding RNA, 103 nt
Organism: Elasticomyces elasticus
Lineage: Eukaryota; Fungi; Ascomycota; Dothideomycetes; Mycosphaerellales; Teratosphaeriaceae
Source: the annotation of a GenBank genome assembly